UAAUUUCGGCACGCGUCAACGAGUCAACUCUCAAUAUUAUGUUACCGAUCACUUAAAAUAGAGGUUUUGGUGAUGGCUCCAUGAUCAAAGUACGACACGUACACGUUGGCGUUCUGGCAUCAUCAAGGCACGUCUUAAUUCACUAAUUUUAGUAAUUUACUAAAUUGAUCUUAGUAUUAUGCAAAUGUAAGAAUAGAAUACACUGGAAUGACUGCAUAAAGUAGAGCAAAAUUUUCCCACUUCUGCAGUCCAAUAUUGUCAACAAAAUGCCAAGAAUAUUUAAGAUACCGUAUCAUACGUUACCAUAAACAAAUGAUGCUCCUAUACAUAUGUAAAUAUGAGUGUAGGAGGGGUUUGCAAUCAAACGUAAAAUCGGAGUAGCUAACUUUGAACUUUGAACAUAUCUAUCAUUUAUUAAAUAUGCUAUAGAAUAAGCAUUACUUCAAUAUUUGUCGUCCUCCCAAAGAAAAGACUGUUAAUGCUGUAUGUAACGUUUUUUACACAACGUUAUGAUUAUGCGUUAGACUUUGUUCUCAAGGCUGAAUGCAUAACUAUACAUUUAAAACAUUAACCAUAUACUUCAUUUUCUGUAAAAAGUGAUCAUUAAACAUUAAUGGCAAGCA
Molecule: long non-coding RNA, 623 nt
Organism: Xenia sp. Carnegie-2017
Lineage: Eukaryota; Metazoa; Cnidaria; Anthozoa; Malacalcyonacea; Xeniidae
Exons: 2
Source: RefSeq, a predicted model, not a curated record